RNAcentral lists this ribosomal RNA (274 nucleotides) under uncultured bacterium. RNAcentral's name for it is "partial 16S ribosomal RNA". It matches the Rfam family "Bacterial small subunit ribosomal RNA", at positions 80 to 353 of the family's 1533-position model. The record is from RNAcentral.
UAAGUUUGAUGGCGACCGGCGCACGGGUGAGUAACACGUAUCCAACCUGCCGAUGACUCGGGGAUAGCCUUUCGAAAGAAAGAUUAAUACCCGAUGGCAUAGUUCUUCCGCAUGGUGGAACUAUUAAAGAAUUUCGGUCAUCGAUGGGGAUGCGUUCCGUUAGGUUGUUGGCGGGGUAACGGCCCACCAGGCCUUCGAUGGAUAGGGGUUCUGAGAGGAAGGUCCCCCACAUUGGAACUGAGACACGGUCCAAACUCCUACGGGAGGCAGCAUG